This 759-nucleotide ribosomal RNA is filed under the name uncultured bacterium. Its description in RNAcentral is "bacterial SSU rRNA". It matches the Rfam family "Bacterial small subunit ribosomal RNA", at positions 28 to 776 of the family's 1533-position model. The record is from RNAcentral.
AUUGAACGCUGGCGGCAGGCCUAACACAUGCAAGUCGAACGGUAACAGGAAGAAGCUUGCUUCUUUGCUGACGAGUGGCGGACGGGUGAGUAAUGUCUGGGAAACUGCCUGAUGGAGGGGGAUAACUACUGGAAACGGUAGCUAAUACCGCAUAACGUCGCAAGACCAAAGAGGGGGACCUUCGGGCCUCUUGCCAUCGGAUGUGCCCAGAUGGGAUUAGCUAGUAGGUGGGGUAACGGCUCACCUAGGCGACGAUCCCUAGCUGGUCUGAGAGGAUGACCAGCCACACUGGAACUGAGACACGGUCCAGACUCCUACGGGAGGCAGCAGUGGGGAAUAUUGCACAAUGGGCGCAAGCCUGAUGCAGCCAUGCCGCGUGUAUGAAGAAGGCCUUCGGGUUGUAAAGUACUUUCAGCGGGGAGGAAGGGAGUAAAGUUAAUACCUUUGCUCAUUGACGUUACCCGCAGAAGAAGCACCGGCUAACUCCGUGCCAGCAGCCGCGGUAAUACGGAGGGUGCAAGCGUUAAUCGGAAUUACUGGGCGUAAAGCGCACGCAGGCGGUUUGUUAAGUCAGAUGUGAAAUCCCCGGGCUCAACCUGGGAACUGCAUCUGAUACUGGCAAGCUUGAGUCUCGUAGAGGGGGGUAGAAUUCCAGGUGUAGCGGUGAAAUGCGUAGAGAUCUGGAGGAACACCGGUGGCGAAGGCGGCCCCCUGGACGAAGACUGACGCUCAGGUGCGAAAGCGUGNGGAGCAAACAGG